Carlito syrichta (Philippine tarsier) is the source of this 300-nucleotide RNA transcript. It is a transcript of the gene named 60S ribosomal protein L39 pseudogene, with no coding region annotated. The transcript has a single exon. NCBI's taxonomy places the organism in Eukaryota, Metazoa, Chordata, Mammalia, Primates, Tarsiidae. The record is from RefSeq and is a predicted model, not a curated record.
CUUUCUGUGUCAUUGUGGUGUGCGUGGUGGACUCCGUUGCUCGCCAUGUCUUCUCACAAGACUUUCAGGAUCAAGCAAUUCCCUGCCAAGAAUCAAAAGGAAAAUCGUCCCAUUCCCCAGUGGAUUUGGAUGAAAACUGGUAAUAAAAUCCGGUACAACUGCAAGAGGAGACAUUGGAGAAGAACCAAGCUGGGUGUAUAAGGAAUUGCACAUGAGGUGGCACAUAUAUUUAUGUUGAAUCAUGGUCACCGUCAUCUUGCCAUUAUCAAGUUGAAAAUCUCUACAGUCGAGAAGUCAGAC